CGCCGGCCGAGACAGCACAGACAGACCAACCCGUUGGGGUGUUUCGCGAGUGUGAGACGUAAGCGCCGUGGCCUGCAUUUCCAGACCUGCCCUUCACCUGGUUCAUGGCACCUUGUAAACCCCGGCCCCUGCCACCUGCAAGUCGGUAACCGCGCUGCACUCCUGUGCUGCGGCCUGUGGCUGGACUGCCUGUGACACCCUGCCUGCUGCUGCCCGACUGGCUGGCAAGAUUAAGCUUUCCCUGGUGGCUGCGAUGCUGCUG
This is a non-coding RNA of Macaca mulatta (Rhesus monkey), 262 nucleotides long. The record is from Rfam. NCBI's taxonomy places the organism in Eukaryota, Metazoa, Chordata, Mammalia, Primates, Cercopithecidae.